Long non-coding RNA from Triticum dicoccoides, 1920 nucleotides. RefSeq lists it as uncharacterized. NCBI's taxonomy places the organism in Eukaryota, Viridiplantae, Streptophyta, Magnoliopsida, Poales, Poaceae. The record is from RefSeq and is a predicted model, not a curated record. The transcript is spliced from 2 exons.
AACAUACUGCUAGUAAGAUUACCAAAUAUCGUAGAUGUGCUCUCAGCGAAUUUCCAAUAAGAGUUCUGACCGCCAGAGCUGAGGUAUUAUUUGUUCUAAUAUCAUACUCAACUGAAUCUUUGUUCAAAGGUUGAGUAUUUGGGUAAUGGUACAAUUAAAUUAGUUUACAGAUUUGAUCUUAUGCCAUUAAAUAGUUAAUUUUGUGAUUAAGUGCUCAACCUUAUAAUACGAACCUAUGUAGCUCGCAAUGCUCAAGGUCUAGCCAUGAUUUUCAUGUGUGUUGCAAUCGCUCGAUGACGGGGUUUGUGUUUUACUACAUGGUGCAGGAUUUGGUUGGUUCGUAAUUAGUUAUCCACAUAAUAGCAAUUGAUAGUGUUAAAUUUUAGAUCCACUAAGGAACUAUCCCUUAAGUAAUUUAUAUGUUUGUAAGUGUUGUUAUGUAGCUAUACCGAACGAAAGAAACACUCAAAUUACUGAAAAAAUCCUUUUGAAGAAGAAGUAGAGAAGGGGGUGAAUAUAUUUAGUUGGCAUUUUGAGUUAAUGAGGGCAACUGAAUAGUAUGUGAUGUUGGACCGGGACGAAUGAAAAUAGGCAUGUGAUUCUUAAGAGGAAAAAAAUGCCAGAUUCACAAAUAGAAAUAUACACAGUAGGGGGGGGGGACUCCAUAUUGGUUUGCCUAAAAACGAUUAUGAGUUUCUCCAAAAAUGUAAUGAAGGGAAUAAUUAUUUGAAGAUUUAUGCAAAAUCGUACAUAAAUGCAUUGAGCAUUUAAAUGCUAAUUAUAAAGUUGCGAGUUAAAACUAGCCAUCUUCAUCCAAAUUAACUUGCUCAUGAUACAAUCUAGAUGUAACACUACAGAAAAUUGAAUUCAUAUUGCAUAGCUUUGAAAAAGGUAACAUAAGUACUCUUCAAAAUACCACAUCGUGUUAACGAGAAUUUUGAAAAAUGGAUCCAAAGUCCAACGCAAAACCUUUCAAUAUUGUAAUUUCGAACUAAGGCCGCAUCUAUGUAAUGCAGCAGUAUCACAAGAAUUUGAGAGGAAACAGUUCAAUCUAUGCUUGUAGUAAAUUGCAUGGAGGAGAUGACGUUAAUGGUGUUUGAGAGGAAACAGUUCGACCUAAUGGUGUUAAUGUUUCCAUACCAAGGUACUAAGUAGGAUAAACUCUUACGCAAAAGAAAAAUCUUUUGGAUGUGCUCUCCCAACACUAUAUAAACCCUAUCCUCCUCCCCCUCCUCUACACAUAGGGCAGUUGAAUCCUCUCAAAGACAAAGGAGCAAGUACCACUUUUUCUACCAGACUGUGCUUGCAAUGGAAAUUCCAGGGGCAUCAUCUCGGCGCUCCAUAGCCAUGUCAUUGGCCUCACUGCUAAAAAGAUUCAGGGGCAUACCACAGUCGCCAAAAGGGUGCCUCUACAACCCAAAGAGUACCGGCGUCGGGAUUGUCUCGGCUAUUAUGGAACCAACUGCUGCAUGCCAAUGCAUUGUUGGGCCUCAUAUCCACGCCAAUGCGCGUGAGAUCCUAGAGGUUACACUACCAAACCUUUGUUGGAGCAAUAAGAGGCCAUUCCGACCAGCCAUACUGUCGUGCGGUCUAUGCCGCUGCUGGAUCGGUAGUGGCACCAUCUACAUGUUCAAAGGUGAGAUGGGAUUCUGUAAAAAAGAGUGUCGCGGCGACUAUAUCAGGGAGCAAUUGGAAAAACAGACACAGACAGUGAGGUGGUGUGCAAGAGAAAAGGUGCCACCAAUGGAGGAAGAUAAGGAAGGCGACCAGAGCUGCAUUUUCUUCACCUGCGCUGGCAGGCUAUGAUGCACAUACAUGUAUGUUUGAGAAUUGUAUGGGCUUAGAAGGACUGGAACCUAUUUUUCACAACUGUAUAACUUGGUGCUUUUGCAAGUAAUAAAACAUGAUCGUUAGCAAAUA